Molecule: ribosomal RNA, 246 nt
Filed under: uncultured bacterium
Lineage: Bacteria
Description: partial 16S ribosomal RNA
Rfam family: Bacterial small subunit ribosomal RNA
Source: RNAcentral
CGUAGGUGCAAGCGUUAAUCGGAAUUACUGGCGUAAGCGUGCGCAGGCGGUUGUAAGUCUGUCGUGAAAUCCCCGGGCUCAACCUGGGAAUUGCGUUGGAGACUGCAAGGCUGGAGUCUGGCAGAGGGGUAGAAUUCCACGUGUAGCAGUGAAAUGCGUAGAGAUGUGGAGGAACACCGAUGGCGAAGGCAGCCCCCUGGGUCAAGACUGACGCUCAUGCACGAAAGCGUGGGAGCAAACAGGAUU